AGCACUUGUGUAUGUUUUUGUUUAAUUUGUGAACAAAGACUUUUAAACAGGUAUAAAAAAAAAUAAAUCCUCUUUUGCAACCCAGAACUUAUUGUUCAAUAUGAGUAAUGAAUGAUACAUAUGAGAAAGAAUAUA
RNAcentral lists this small nucleolar RNA (135 nucleotides) under Castor canadensis (American beaver). Its description in RNAcentral is "Small nucleolar RNA SNORA40 (ENSCCNG00000028691.1)". It matches the Rfam family "Small nucleolar RNA SNORA40". From Rfam's summary of the family: The snoRNA ACA 40 belongs to the H/ACA family of snoRNAs and guides the pseudouridylation of 28S rRNA subunit at position U4565. NB This family has a high threshold value to exclude a large number of closely related sequences that do not appear to have conserved H and ACA boxes, and may be pseudogenes. The record is from Rfam by way of RNAcentral. Lineage: Eukaryota; Metazoa; Chordata; Mammalia; Rodentia; Castoridae.